This 189-nucleotide ribosomal RNA is filed under the name uncultured Pseudomonas sp. RNAcentral describes it as "partial 16S ribosomal RNA". It matches the Rfam family "Bacterial small subunit ribosomal RNA", at positions 341 to 522 of the family's 1533-position model. The record is from RNAcentral. Lineage: Bacteria; Pseudomonadati; Pseudomonadota; Gammaproteobacteria; Pseudomonadales; Pseudomonadaceae.
ACGGGAGGCAGCAGUGGGGAAUAUUGGACAAUGGGCGCAAGCCUGAUCCAGCCAUACCGCGUGGGUGAAGAAGGCCUUCGGGUUGUAAAGCCCUUUUGUUGGGAAAGAAAUCCAGCUGGCUAAUACCCGGUUGGGAUGACGGUACCCAAAGAAUAAGCACCGGCUAACUUCGUGCCAGCAGCCGCGGUA